This 73-nucleotide transfer RNA is filed under the name Candidatus Latescibacterota bacterium. RNAcentral's name for it is "tRNA-Ile". It matches the Rfam family "tRNA". From Rfam's summary of the family: Transfer RNA (tRNA) molecules are approximately 80 nucleotides in length. Their secondary structure includes four short double-helical elements and three loops (D, anti-codon, and T loops). Further hydrogen bonds mediate the characteristic L-shaped molecular structure. tRNAs have two regions of fundamental functional importance: the anti-codon, which is responsible for specific mRNA codon recognition, and the 3' end, to which the tRNAs corresponding amino acid is attached (by aminoacyl-tRNA synthetases). tRNAs cope with the degeneracy of the genetic code in two manners: having more than one tRNA (with a specific anti-codon) for a particular amino acid; and 'wobble' base-pairing, i.e. permitting non-standard base-pairing at the 3rd anti-codon position. Lineage: Bacteria; Pseudomonadati; Candidatus Latescibacterota. The record is from RNAcentral.
GCGCCGGUAGCUCAGUGGUGAGAGCAGGGUCCUUAUAAGGCUCAGGUCGUAGGUUCAAUUCCUACUCGGCGUA